Molecule: long non-coding RNA, 397 nt
Organism: Cyprinus carpio (common carp)
Lineage: Eukaryota; Metazoa; Chordata; Actinopteri; Cypriniformes; Cyprinidae
Exons: 3
Source: RefSeq, a predicted model, not a curated record
UGCAAACACUGUUCUUCUCGAAGAUGCUAUCCAGCGUCUUUGUGCUCUUGAGCGAAAGUUUGAAUAGCAAAGACUGCAAGAGGAACAAAGACCGCGGGAAGAGCCAUUACAUAAAAGGAUAAAGAGGGCGCACAACGUGGGCAUUGGGAAUAAGUUCGCCUCGUAACCAAGCAGUCAUGACUUAUCUGCUAGAGGAAUUGAAAACAACUUUUGCAGAUGCAGACCCUGAGUGUAUACAAGCGUGUUGCAAGACAUACUUUGAAACACUUCGGAGAAAGUACAAUUUGUCUCAGCCAGAAAAGUCCCAGCUAAGAGAUGCCAUUAAAACAGGAGCUAAAAACCGACAUUCAUCAACUUGUCUUUAAAGGGAUAGUUCACCCCAAAUUGAAAAUUCUGU